UACCAAACCUACCAAACCUGUGCCAUACC
RNAcentral lists this non-coding RNA (29 nucleotides) under Bombyx mori (domestic silkworm). The record is from RNAcentral. Lineage: Eukaryota; Metazoa; Arthropoda; Insecta; Lepidoptera; Bombycidae.